UCGGACAUGGUGUACGGUACACGGCCUCUCUUGUUAUUCAAAUCGCGAAGGGAAAAUUAUGAGGCAACCCGGGGUUCGACUCCCUGUGUCCGAA
Molecule: non-coding RNA, 94 nt
Organism: Mycena latifolia
Lineage: Eukaryota; Fungi; Basidiomycota; Agaricomycetes; Agaricales; Mycenaceae
Source: the annotation of a GenBank genome assembly